AAUGAACGCUGGCGGUAGGCCUAACACAUGCAAGUCGAACGGAUCCUUCGGGAUUAGUGGCGGACGGGUGAGUAACGCGUGGGAACAUACCCAAAGGUACGGAAUAGCCUCGGGAAACUGGGAGUAAUACCGUAUAUGUUCUAAAGAGGAAAGGUUUAUCGCCUUGGGAUUGGCCCGCGUUGGAUUAGGUAGUUGGUGGGGUAAUGGUCUACCAAGCGGACGAACCAUAGCUGGUUUGAGAGGAUGAUCAGCCACACUGGGACUGAGACACGGCCCAGACUCCUCCGGGAGGCAGCAGUGGGGAAUCUUAGACAAUGGGGGAAACCCUGAUCUAGCCAUGCCGCGUGAACGAUGAAGGCCUUAGGGUUGUAAAGCUCUAUCAGGUGGGAAGAUAAUGACUGUACCUCAAGAAGAAGCCCCGGCUAACUCCGUGCCAGCCGCCGCCGUAA
Molecule: ribosomal RNA, 449 nt
Filed under: uncultured bacterium
Lineage: Bacteria
Description: partial 16S ribosomal RNA
Rfam family: Bacterial small subunit ribosomal RNA
Source: RNAcentral